UUGUACCCUCUUCCCUGAGACCUCUGCUGUGAUAAUAUAAGAUAUCACAGUAUGAGUACCUCAGGGGCCAGGUUUCU
Molecule: non-coding RNA, 77 nt
Organism: Dracunculus medinensis (Guinea worm)
Lineage: Eukaryota; Metazoa; Nematoda; Chromadorea; Rhabditida; Dracunculidae
Source: Rfam